RNAcentral lists this long non-coding RNA (5211 nucleotides) under Podarcis muralis (Common wall lizard). RNAcentral describes it as "lncRNA (ENSPMRG00000005525.1)". Lineage: Eukaryota; Metazoa; Chordata; Lepidosauria; Squamata; Lacertidae. The record is from RNAcentral.
ACCGUGUUUCCUGAACAAUUCUCCUUCGACUUACAAUGCGCAACUGUGCACCUGUGCCCUUUCUGCCUGUCACAUCGCUCUGACAAGUCGCAGGACCCCUCGAGGGGUGGGCAGCGCUCUCAGAGCGAGGUCUGCGCGCCUUACUACCAUCAGGUUAACCGAGCAGCGAAUUCCAAGGAGCGCCCCCUCCCCGCGCGCGCGCGCUCCGCGUCCCUGGAACUGCAGCCUCAGUGCAGCGCCAACUUCUCCUGGCAGAAAGUAAGGGCGAGGGUGGUGGAGGUGGCGCGAAAAGGAGGCGGUGGUGCACGCGCAGCCCGCCUCGCGCCCCCGGCCCUGGGCGCGUCGGGAGAAGGAGACGCGCUGCUGGGGCUUGUUCGAUUCCGCUCUGGCCGGAGAGAGGUCUCCGAGAGGGCGCCGCGCGCGCCUGAGGGGAACCUUCCGACACUUUUGCGCUCUUCUGCCGCCUCCGCCCCGUCCUCGGGUAGGUUGGGAAGUUUGCAGGGCGGGGCUCGGCGCGCCGAGGAGGAAGAGAGAGCCGGGGAAUUCUGUCCCGCCCGGUGCCAUUCCACAGUGAGCCGCGGGCGCGCCAGCAAGUGCCAAAUGAAUGGGACGCGGGUGGUGCUGUGGGUUAAACCACAGAGCCUAGGACUUGCUGAUCAGAAGGUCGUGGUUCGAAUCCCCGCAAUGAGGGGUGAGCUCCCGUUGCUCGGUCCCUGCUCCUGCCAACCUAGCAGUUCGGAAGCACAAAGUGCAAGUAGAUAAAUAGGUACCGCUCUGGCGGGAAGGUAAACGGCAUUUCCGUGCUCUGUUCUGGUUCACCAGAAGUGGCUUAAUCAUGCUGGCCACAUGACCCGGAAGCUGUACUCCGGCUCCCUCGGCCAAUAAAGCGAGAUGAGCGCCGCAACCCCAGAGUCAGCCAUGACUGGACCUAAUGGUCAGGGGUCCCUUUACCUUUUUUAGUGCCAAAUGAAGAGCAAGGUAGCAGUGAUUGGGCACCAUUAACCAAUAUGUUUCUAAUUUCUGAUGAACUAUAAUGAGCCGAGAAAUUUGGGCUUUUCAUUAUGCACAAAUGCCCCUUUAAAGUCUAUCAUAUAUUGCAUUGCAAUAAAGUUGUGUGUCAAAAUGGUAUGAGGGUUCUUUGAAGCAACUGCAUGUCAGUGACAUCUCAUAGAUCAUUUGCCUCCAGUGAGAGCUAUGAAGAUGUCUUCUGCUGGACUCUUUCCAUGUGGGUGUUUUAUAGGGAAACCCUACCCCAAUACUGGCUAUAAAACAGAUCCACUUUCUAUGGAUUUCUUAAGGUUUAUACUGGUCUUUUUACCUGGUGUAGCUGUUUUACACUGGUUUAAACAGAGUUGCUUAUAAGGCCAAAUCUGGCUUCUUAGCCUGUUGGAAGUCUAUUGCUUCCAUAUUGUUUGUCUCAACAUACAACCAGGUACAAUUUCCAUCCCUCUUUCUUCCACAAGUACCUGCAAGAGCACUAUUCCUGGGAUUAGGAACUUCAGGUACGGAGUCACAUGGGGCUCUCCAGGCCUCUUUAUCUAGCACUUGAGAGUCUUGCCAGGCCAUGCCCCAUCUCCCCAGGCUGCAUCCGUCACCAGCCCUGCUUUGCAGCCUCCUUAAGUAUUUUUACUUGGUUGGAAUGCAUCCUUGAACUCUGUUAAUGCUUCGUGCUUGCCUAGAUGAAAGAUAGAGAGGAGCAUGUGUAGAAACUAGCCUAUUGUAUGAAUGUAAAAUGCCCAUAUGUUGCUCUGCCCAUUUUUGUCUCCUUGUCUGGAAUGUUCUGGUUAUACUUGGGCAUGCUACUCUUCGUUCAGUAUUUUCUGCAUGCUGGUUGAGUUGCUUUCAAUUAUUGUUGCUGCAGGCAUGAAAUGAAGUUGCCAGGUUGGUUGCUGGCCAGCUCCUUCUGAGCAGAGUAAAGAUUUUCAGUGUGGGAUAUAAAGGAAUAGGAAUAAAUAAGAUGAAGUAACUUGUUUUAGGAUGCUGUUGUUCUCAGCCCGAAAUGUUUCCAAAAUCAGGAACCUUCCAAUACAGUGGUACCUCGGUUUACGAACUUAAUCUGUUCCAGAAGUCCAUUCUUAAACUAAAACCAUUCUUAAACCAAGGCGUGCUUUCCCUAAUGAGGCCUCCCAAUGCCAGUGCCAUUCCACCGCUUGGAUUCCAUUCUUAGACCAAGGUAAAGUUCUCUCUUUUUAUAUAUAUAAAGGUUUUUAUUAAUUUUCAAUACAAUAUAUAUAUAUAUAAUACCAUAUCUAAAGUUUAUCACAAAUUAUAUAUUAUGGACUUCCUUCAGCUUAUCUGCCAAUCGUCCGUAAUUAAAUUUUAGUUACGCAUUUCCUAAAUUUAAUACUGCCUUUUUAUAUACCUUCCCAAUCUUAUUUUCUUUUUUACAAUACUCCUCAACCUUUCACAGAGCUUCUUGAAAUCCCACAAAUGUUGUUUGUUCAUCACAUAUAUUUUUCAGAUACUCUACAAAUUUUCCCCAUCCUCGAUGAACUUAUGGUCUCAUUGAUAUCUAAUGUUCCCAGUUAAAUUGUCCAGUUCUGCAUAGUCCAUCAUUUUCAUUCUCCAUUCUUCCAGGGUCGGUAAUUCCUCCUGUUUCCAUCUUUGGGCCAUUAAUGUUCUCGCCGCUGUAACUGCAUAUUGGAAAAUUUUACAGUCCUUUCUAUUUAUUUCAUUUCCUACUAUUCCUAACAGAAGAGCUUCUGGUUUCUUUACAAAUGUAUAUUUCAGCAUCUUUUUCAGUUCAUUAUAUAUUGUCUCCCAGAAACCCUUCACCUUCUUAUAUUCCCACCAUAGACCGAGGUAAAGUUCUCAAACCGGGACACUAUUUCCAGUUUUGCAGAGUUUGUAAACUGAAUCGGUCUUAAACCGGACUGUUCUUAAACUGAGGUACCACUGUACUCUGGAUUUAUUUAUUUUUUUAAAAUUUCUGUUGCUUUCUGAUUCUUGUGCUUUUCAUUAAAAAAACACCCUGUUUUUCUAAAGAGUAUCUCUCUGAUAACAGAACAGUAACAUCUUGCUCAUAUCUCUCAACUUCAUAGAGACAUACUUCACUGCAGAGCUCUUGCAUUCAAGUAAGUUGGCAUAAACUAAAUCUAUCACAUGAGGUGAAUUCCCAGGUGAUAGAAUUGAGGUCUGUAGAACUUUUGGGACUUGUGUGUGAAAGAGACUAUUCCUUAGCAAUAUGCUAAUGGCACAAACUUAAGAACUCUUACAGAGAAUUCUAAUAGAAAAAGUUACCUCCUGCUGUGUCUGACACAGAAGGCAAUGAUCUAUCUUCGUGUCAUAGUCACGGUUUUAAUGAAGCUUAUGAGCGCAGGCUGUAGAUCACAAAUCAUUGUAUUAACUGCACUAAUUAAUCAGGCUGGCAUUUUUCAAAUCUUAUGCAGAAUAAUAACUGUGCAAAUAGUCUGAGCCUGAAGUGUGUGAGUCUUAAUUAAAACUCUGCCUAAACAAAAUAAAAUUGUGUGACUGCCAAAAUUCUUAAAGUAGAAUUUGAGGCAGCAACCACAGGUGAGCCCCACCAGCCAGCAUGCAACCAGUGUUUUGGUUUUUAAAAAAAGAACUAAUGCUCCCUGCCCCCGCCCCCCAUGCCAUUUCUCCUUUCUCUUUUCUUUUGCUGCUUUUUGUGACAAACCACUUCCUGGAACAUCCUACCUUUAAAUAUAAACCCAAAACCUUCAGUUAGCAAGAAUGUUGACUGGGGCAGCCAUCAGAUCAUGCCAUAUUGAUUGUGAAAGAUUUCCGUUGGCCACCUGUUCAAUUCUGUGCUGCAUUUCAGAUGACACUGUUGUGCUAUAAAGCCAUAAAUGACUUGGGGGUCCUGUUAUUUGAAGGAAUGCCUCUCUGUAUAUCAAUCUGCUCAGGUUCCUAGUUUUGGGAGAUCGGGGGCUUUUCAUUGUUCUACACCAGAGGAAAUUCAUUAGGUGCUGACACAACAUGGGGUCCUCUCAGUGGCAGUGUCCCAAUUAUAGAAUGCCAUUCCUAUGAAAGUGUAACUGGCGUUGACCUCGUUGACAUUUUGGGACCAGGUUCAAGCAUGCCUGUUCGCCUAGGUAUUUAUGGGAUGUUGGCCCACUGCUACAAUAGAUGUGGCAGAAUUUUUUAUUGUGCAUUUGAUUUAGAUCAGGGGUGGGGGAUCUCUUUCAGCCCAAGGAUUGCAUUCCCUCCUGGGCACCCUGCUGGAGCCUACAUACCAGUGCUGGGAAGGAUCAGAGACAUAAAUGGAGAAAAGCAAUAUAUGUCAAUCCUACAGUAGUCUAGCUCCAACACACACUUAUCCUUCCUUCUAUCCUCUGUCUAGGCAGGCAAGCAGCAUUAUCAGCAUUCAAGGACAAAUUGCAGCCUGGCAAAAACAUUUAGGGACGUUGUGAAGGGCCACAACUGGUCUAGGCCUAAGGUUCCCCACCCCUGAUUAUGGCUUUCUCUUACUUAGUUUGGAUUGUUUGGAUUGUUUUAAAUUUUGUUGUAACUCUCUGGGAUCAAUUGAUGAAGUGCUGAUUAAAAAUGUAGUUAAUCAAGAUGUGUGCAUGAAUAGCAACAAAAUGAAGGAUAGAACCCUCUGACAACAACCUUCGUUCAGAAAUCUAUAGGGCAGAGAGGACAACAAUUAUCAAUACAACUUAGUUUCACAACCCCCUAGAUGGAGUACAGCUGUUCAUCUGGCGAUGCUGUUAUUUCUUUACUUCUCAGGUAAUUGAGCCAGCCUUAAACAAGGAAAAGAAACAUAAAUGAUUUUACACUGCACCUAAAAUAUUUUCAACCACUGAUGAAAAGAAAUUUUGCCCCAACCUAGCUUUCUCAUCAUUCAUCACCAGCAAGUUCAUGCUUGCUAUAGCAGGUAAUUGACCUGACCUGGUAACUUGAAUGCAUUUGAGCUCAUUUAGAUGCUCAUAAACCCAUAGGAAAAACUGAUAUUUAGUCAGCCUGAUUGAGACAGGUCUCUGGUUUGAGCGGGCUCCAUGUCAAAGCCAUACAUUUGUUGUUGCCAAAAUUCAAAUAAAACCAAACCUGAGCCCAAUGACAGCUUUUCCCCUUAUGGAAAUAGCAGCUCAGGGGGUAGAGGGACUUUCAUCAAGGUGAGCACAAUGCUGUGAUCCUAAUUCUUUUUUGGUUCUGCCCCAAUUCUUAUCAGCCCCUCCCUGCAGCUUUUGUUUAAAGUUUUAAAAGAAUCAUGCAGCACCAUGCCCUUAUAACAAAACAUGUAGUUUG